UCCAAACAGAGAUAUAGCCGACGU
This 24-nucleotide non-coding RNA is filed under the name Drosophila melanogaster (fruit fly). The record is from RNAcentral. Lineage: Eukaryota; Metazoa; Arthropoda; Insecta; Diptera; Drosophilidae.